AAUCCAUAGGUUAAUGAGGCGAACCGGGGGAACUGAAACAUCUAAGUACCCCGAGGAAAAGAAAUCAACCGAGAUUCCCCCAGUAGCGGCGAGCGAACGGGGAGGAGCCCAGAGCCUGAAUCAGCAUGUGUGUUAGUGGAAGCGUCUGGAAAGGCGCGCGAUACAGGGUGACAGCCCCGUACACAAAAGCGCAUGUGCUGUGAGCUCGAUGAGUAGGGCGGGACACGUGGUAUCCUGUCUGAAUAUGGGGGGACCAUCCUCCAAGGCUAAAUACUCCUGACUGACCGAUAGUGAACCAGUACCGUGAGGGAAAGGCGAAAAGAACCCCGGCGAGGGGAGUGAAAAAGAACCUGAAACCGUGUACGUACAAGCAGUGGGAGCACAGGUUUACCUGUGUGACUGCGUACCUUUUGUAUAAUGGGUCAGCGACUUAUAUUCUGUAGCAAGGUUAACCGAAUAGGGGAGCCGGAGGGAAACCGAGUCUUAAUUGGGCGUUAAGUUGCAGGGUAUAGACCCGAAACCCGGUGAUCUAGCCAUGGGCAGGUUGAAGGUUGGGUAACACUAACUGGAGGACCGAACCGACUAAUGUUGAAAAAUUAGCGGAUGACCUGUGGCUGGGGGUGAAAGGCCAAUCAAACCGGGAGAUAGCUGGUUCUCCCCGAAAGCUAUUUAGGUAGCGCCUCGUGAAUUCAUCUCCGGGGGUAGAGCACUGUUUCGGCUAGGGGGCCAUCCCGGCUUACCAACCCGAUGCAAACUGCGAAUACCGGAGAAUGUUAUCACGGGAGACACACGGCGGGUGCUAACGUCCGUCGUGAAGAGGGAAACAACCCAGACCGCCAGCUAAGGUCCCAAAGUCAUGGUUAAGUGGGAAACGAUGUGGGAAGGCCCAGACAGCCAGGAUGUUGGCUUAGAAGCAGCCAUCAUUUAAAGAAAGCGUAAUAGCUCACUGGUCGAGUCGGCCUGCGCGGAAGAUGUAACGGGGCUAAACCAUGCACCGAAGCUGCGGCAGCGAACGUAUCACUUAAAGCGAUUCAGCGGGUUACGAUUGACGGAGCGAAGCGACGUCAAAGCGUAUACAAAGUCGAGUCGGUUUAAGGAUACGUU
Molecule: ribosomal RNA, 1104 nt
Filed under: Salmonella enterica subsp. enterica serovar Infantis
Lineage: Bacteria; Pseudomonadati; Pseudomonadota; Gammaproteobacteria; Enterobacterales; Enterobacteriaceae
Also listed under: 2 other names
Description: partial 23S ribosomal RNA
Rfam family: Bacterial large subunit ribosomal RNA
Source: RNAcentral